GAUGCUGGCCAUGGCAACUGGGUCCUCUGGGUUGAUACCUUUGCGACGAAGUUGUGUCUCUAUUUUCUUGAUAUUUAGUUUCUGCGAUUCAAGAGCCUGCUCAUAUCUAGCCUUGAAUAAAGCCUGCAAUAAGGAUCAUGCUUGGACGAGUGAUAAUACCUACCGCUACCAUGGCUACGGUGAGGCACGCCUACGAGUAAGAAUCUGGACAAGGAGAACUGCUGCCCGAGGUCACAACGCACCAAUGAAAUAAGCUACUUCCGCAUCGAGCCGUUCUUGGUAACUGAGCAGCAAAGUAUCUCAUGAGUUACCAGCGCAAAGUCACAACAAGCAAAUUUCAGCAAGUUCAUGGCGCAAAUAGCAGUAACUUCACAAUUAAACUCUAGCUCAGAAUUAUGUCCUCAAAGCCCACCAAAGAUGAUCGGACGAUUCAUGAAACAAUCCUGGCAUGAUGUUACGUUUUUUCUCGUUCAGAAUUAACCAGCAUUGGUUGUUCUGCAUGAGCAGAUUCCUCCAUCUACGAUGCAAUGUCGCAGUUAAGAGCUAAGAGUUGUCUAUUUGGACCAUGUGCAGUACAAUUUGUAGACCAUGAAGGUGCAAACACAGUCUCAGACAAUGGAGUAGACGGAAUAGCAGGUAUAUAAACCACAUAAUAUUCAGGAGAUAAAUUGCAACAUGGUGGCU
Molecule: long non-coding RNA, 684 nt
Organism: Brachypodium distachyon (stiff brome)
Lineage: Eukaryota; Viridiplantae; Streptophyta; Magnoliopsida; Poales; Poaceae
Exons: 3
Source: RefSeq, a predicted model, not a curated record